GGGACUUUAGCUCAAUUGGUUAGAGCAGCGGACUCAUAACCCGCGGGUUCCGGGUUCAAGUCCCGGAGGUCCCACGA
RNAcentral lists this transfer RNA (77 nucleotides) under Fibrobacter sp. UWR2. RNAcentral's name for it is "tRNA-Met". It matches the Rfam family "tRNA". From Rfam's summary of the family: Transfer RNA (tRNA) molecules are approximately 80 nucleotides in length. Their secondary structure includes four short double-helical elements and three loops (D, anti-codon, and T loops). The record is from RNAcentral. Lineage: Bacteria; Pseudomonadati; Fibrobacterota; Fibrobacteria; Fibrobacterales; Fibrobacteraceae.